Vicia villosa (hairy vetch) is the source of this 1083-nucleotide long non-coding RNA. RefSeq lists it as uncharacterized. The transcript has 3 exons. NCBI's taxonomy places the organism in Eukaryota, Viridiplantae, Streptophyta, Magnoliopsida, Fabales, Fabaceae. The record is from RefSeq and is a predicted model, not a curated record.
UUCACUACACCUCUCCUCCUCCCGCUCCCUCCUCUAGGUUUCCGCCGUGUUCAGCAUCACACCGACUCUCAUCACCACUUAGUAGUUCACUCUAUCUUUUCUCAGCAUUUCAUUUUCUUUUUGUUUUUCUUCCGAGUUCACCAACCCCAAUCAAAGUCCUCUCUUUUUCUUCUUUGCUCAAACUGAAAGAAGAAAAUCUUAGUAUUGAAACCAGUAAAAGAGAGUGAGUGUAGUAGUUACAAGAACGCGAGAACUACACUACAUGGAGUACUCUCCUCCGUGGAUGAUGGAUCCUUCGCCGGCAACAACUACCCCAUCUUUCACGGUACCUCGUGCUGCCUUGUUUCAAAUUCAACAACUGUGAUUUUCUUGAUUAAUGAGGUUGCAAACAUAGAAAAUAAAUGGGUGGGUGAAGAUUGAGUUUUAGUUGAAGAAUUGGAAAUUACCACGAGUCUAACUGACUCAACUAAAACAGUGCUUACAUCAUCUAAUGCAAUGGAUGAGAAUUCCUUCUUGAAGGCAAAUCAGAUACGCCAACAACUAAAUUAUAAUGAUUUGAAUGUACAGGCAAUGUCCGGUUUCAUAGUUUGUAAUUAGGUUGUGUACAUUAAUAAGUUUAUAACUAUCUUUAUUAUGUCCUUGUAUGUACAGGUAAUGCCAAAAGAAAAUCUCUUAGAAAACCCUGGCAAAAUGAUGGAAGUUUAUUAUGUCCUUGUACAAUGUACAGGUAAUGCCAAAAGAAAGUCUCUUAGAAAACCCUGGCAAAAUGAUGGAAGUUCAAGUCGAUGCAUAUUCACUGACAGUGUUAGACAUCAAGUCAUCAUAGUCACAUUUGUGUAUUCCUGUAAUAUUUGAAAAUAUGAAUAAGGAGAGAGUUGUGCAUACUUGUAAUGUUUAAAAACAUGAACGAGGAGAACGUGAACGAGGAGUGAGUAAGUUUGUGUGUACAUACUUGUAAUGUUUGAAAACAUGAACAUGUUGAGAGUUGUGCAUACUUGUAAUAUUUAAAAACAUGAACAAAGAGACUGAGUUUGUGUGUGAUAGUGAGAUUGUUGAUUAGUUAUUCAAGUUUAGUUGAUGAUA